UGACGUCACUGCAACACAACCGCAGGGCAUGGUGUUGCCGCUGCAGUGACAUCACAAGACAAUCGGAUGUCGUCACAACAGGAGGCAACAGCAUUGUGUGGUGACAGAGCCAUGUAGUACUGAAACGUUAUGGGAUAAAAGGGAAGCAUUUUCAUAAUCCAGUGAGUUCAAUGAACAUGGGGUCUUAUCCAGAGAAGACUGAAGGCUUUCCUUUGCCAGAAACUGAGCCAUCAUAUCUUCACAUUGGCACAAUCCCUCAUCACCUUCAAUUCUCAUUUUGGUUACACUCCUUGGGGUGUCAUAAUAAUUCCUUUUCAGAUGUGUACUUGCUGGAAGUAGCUUAAAUUGUGUUUCUGCUGGAGAAAGCUUCUUUCUAUUGUCUAUAAGCUAAAAAACCCUGUAUAUUUACGAUCUUGA
Long non-coding RNA from Gopherus flavomarginatus (Mexican gopher tortoise), 417 nucleotides. RefSeq lists it as uncharacterized. Lineage: Eukaryota; Metazoa; Chordata; Testudines; Testudinidae. The transcript has 3 exons. The record is from RefSeq and is a predicted model, not a curated record.